GAUCAUGGCUCAGGAUGAACGCUAGCUACAGGCUUAACACAUGCAAGUCGAGGGGCAGCAUGAACUUAGCUUGCUAAGUUUGAUGGCGACCGGCGCACGGGUGAGUAACACGUAUCCAACCUGCCGAUGACUCGGGGAUAGCCUUUCGAAAGAAAGAUUAAUACCCGAUGGCAUAGUUCUUCCGCAUGGUGGAACUAUUAAAGAAUUUCGGUCAUCGAUGGGGAUGCGUUCCAUUAGGUUGUUGGCGGGGUAACGGCCCACCAAGCCUUCGAUGGAUAGGGGUUCUGAGAGGAAGGUCCCCCACAUUGGAACUGAGACACGGUCCAAACUCCUACGGGAGGCAGCAGUGAGGAAUAUUGGUCAAUGGACGAGAGUCUGAACCAGCCAAGUAGCGUGAAGGAUGACUGCCCUAUGGGUUGUAAACUUCUUUUAUACGGGAAUAAAGUGAGGCACGUGUGCCUUUUUGUAUGUACCGUAUGAAUAAGGAUCGGCUAACUCCGUG
Molecule: ribosomal RNA, 502 nt
Filed under: uncultured bacterium
Lineage: Bacteria
Description: bacterial SSU rRNA
Rfam family: Bacterial small subunit ribosomal RNA
Source: RNAcentral